GACGAACGCUGGCGGCGUGCUUAACACAUGCAAGUCGAACGGAAAGGCCCUGCUUUUGUGGGGUGCUCGAGUGGCGCACGGGUGAGUAACACGUGAGUAACCUGCCCUUGACUUUGGGAUAACUUCAGGAAACUGGGGCUAAUACCGGAUAGGAGCUCCUGCUGCAUGUUGGGGGUUGGAAAGUUUCGGCGGUUGGGGAUGGACUCGCGGCUUAUCAGCUUGUUGGUGGGGUAGUGGCUUACCAAGGCUUUGACGGGUAGCCGGCCUGAGAGGGGGACCGGCCACAUGGGGACUGAGAUACGGCCCAGACUCCUACGGGAGGCAGCAGUGGGGAAUAUUGCACAAUGGGCGGAAGCCUGAUGCAGCAACGCCGCGUGCGGGAUGACGGCCUUCGGGUUGUAAACCGCUUUCGCCUGUGACGAAGCGUGAGUGACGGUAAUGGGUAAAGAAGCACCGGCUAACUACGUG
This 468-nucleotide ribosomal RNA is filed under the name uncultured bacterium. RNAcentral's name for it is "partial 16S ribosomal RNA". It matches the Rfam family "Bacterial small subunit ribosomal RNA", at positions 28 to 507 of the family's 1533-position model. The record is from RNAcentral.